RNAcentral lists this non-coding RNA (24 nucleotides) under Arabidopsis thaliana (thale cress). Lineage: Eukaryota; Viridiplantae; Streptophyta; Magnoliopsida; Brassicales; Brassicaceae. The record is from RNAcentral.
CACCCGAUUUGAGCUUUCCACCCG